Long non-coding RNA from Xenopus tropicalis (tropical clawed frog), 2817 nucleotides. RefSeq lists it as uncharacterized. The transcript has 4 exons. The record is from RefSeq and is a predicted model, not a curated record. NCBI's taxonomy places the organism in Eukaryota, Metazoa, Chordata, Amphibia, Anura, Pipidae.
AGUAUUCUAUGGGCGAUAUUGAGCAAUGGUCUUUCUUAUUGUGUUACUGUGCUGAUUGCGUGCACUGAUCAAAUGACACUUGGAGCAUUUUACAUAAAAGAAGACUAAUUUCAGGUGGUAAAAGAAAAUCUUGACUUUGAUUUCAAUCUGUGAUUAUUCUGAGAAGUGAUUAAAAGAAGUGAUUAGAAGAAGUGAUCAGAAGUGUUAGCUUGCUAAAUGAAUCAAUGGUAAUCUAAGGUUACCAUCAGUCUCUGUUUCAGUUUCCUUGUCCCUCUGGGUAAUUGACCCCAGAAAGUGUUCCCGCCUCUGAAAGCUGUCCCCAUGGCAAUAGAGCCACCUACAGCUAAUUGUAGCUACUCCAUGACAGGAGGAAGGAAGACGUCACCUGACCCCUUUCCCCCUCCCAUGUUCUACAAACUUCCCACGCAGCGACCCCUCUCCAUUGCACUGUGCCCCGCUACAUCUGACAGAGGUUUGUAGCUGAACAUCUGAAUGUUCCUGCAAGUUCUUGUGUCACAUUCUUCAGCAACAGUAAACAACUCAUGGUGUAUUCCUGAUACGUGUUCUUGGUCAUUUGAGGAUGCACCUCUUCUAAGCAUGGAAUCUCCUCUUUGCCUGGGAAGGUCCAAGACAGACUUUUCAUUAUUAAAGCCAACCAUGUGGCACUAUGCUCGAGGAGAUGGAAUUUUCCAAGGGCUGCAGAACAACAGCAGCAGCAGGAUGGAUAGCCCCACACGCAGCAUAAUAGGUAUAUUUCCAGAUUUACUGUAAAUGUUCUGCUGUCUCCAGUACUGGGGACUUAAGGAAUGUGAGUAAGAAGUAAUAUCAUGGAUAGAGAAGAAUGGGGUACUAUUCCUAACAGAAAGGUUUGUUUUGGAAUGGGGCCUUCAGAAAAUACACAGUUACACCACCCAUGAAUGAGGUAAUGGAUUAGGUAAAAGAUAAAAUCAUGAGGCAAUGAAGAAGAAGAUGUCAUUUUUUACAAUGCUCAGCCUCUAGUUCCUGUACAGUUCCACAAAUCAUAGGAUUUAGUAUGCACGUGGGACCCUCCGGAGUAAAUCACUGAAAAGCCUGUUUUUACUCUUCAUAUGAAGAAACAAUUAAUUGGGUUUAAUUUCCUAAACUAUGCAAAAAGCAUAUGCCUCUUUGAAAACUCAUGUCCAUUGUUAAAUUCCACUUAAGAUCUUUGUGGAAGAUUUUGUGGCUCCCUGACCGGUAUAAAAAUGAAAGAUGGUAGAGCUGCCAUUUUGAAACAAGACAGAGCACUAUGAGAAGAACAGAUUCAUUGUCGUUAAACAUUUGGUUAUUUGGAGUCCAGCAAAGCAAAAUACUCGAGAGGAUUAUUUAUGACAGCUGUUAAAGGUUGCGUUUUAUUUACCAAGGGCCAGAAUAGCUGAAUCAGCAUAAUAACGCACAUUUUUAUGAUUUCGUCCUGUCCAAAACUGCUCUGCGCACAUCAUGCCAAAGAAUAGCCAAUUAAAUCCCAUUUCUUGCCCCAGCAAAGUCUUAGGUUCUGAAGUUUCUAUAAAAAACAUUCUUAUGCUAAAAGAGAGAUUGUUUACUGCCUAGUCAUAGCAAGGGUGAUGGUUACAUAUGAAGACACAUGAUUCCUCCUCAGUAACCUAUAGUAUCCAAUAAGAUAUUUGCUUUUAUUAUUCUGCAUGUGCUAAAAGAAUAAAAGCUUAAUUCUAAUUAGGUGACAAUGUGUAAAACAAGUUGUCCUAAUUCGACACAUUUGAGGUUAUUCUUGGCUUUACAGCAUAAUGUUAUACACUUAUCCAAUAAUAGCCCAUUCCAGUGUUUUUUGUAAAUGAUAUGGUCCCAGUAUUACUUAUAAUUCUAUCUUCAGUGGCCUCGUCUUAGAUUUUUUUUUUCUGUUUUACUGAUAAAUAAAAAACAUAUGGUCCUAUGUAAGCCUGCCUUAUAAACAUGCAUUAUAAAUGAAUAGAAACCAAAAAUGGGUGUGAGGGUUGGGAGAUGAUUUUUUUUGCCUUCUUUUAAAUAAUAGUGAGGUCCAAUUCUGGAACCCCCCCCCCCCCCCUUACAAUUACAGGUAGGAAGUUGUAUUUACUCCUUGCUCCUUUCUUUAAAGAAAGUGGCAAUAUCUUCUUCAUAGUGAACCAUUACUGGAAGUUUUUAGCUCAUCGAGAGGCUGGAAAAAGGGGUCUUAAUUUCUGAUUUGCUGUUGUUUACUAUAGGGUUAAAAGUUACAUCUGUGUUACACUAUUCCCCCCCACAGUUCAUCUGCAAAAAGUUAUGUACAUCUGUAGACCCUGAGCUGCAUUGAAGGUACAGAGCAUUAGCUAAAUAAAAUUCAAAUUAAAAUAGAAUCACAAGGUACGUAGCUACACAUUUCUGGACAAGACAAGACAAUGCUUUCUGACGUGAGAGACAAUUCUUUUGAUGAGAGGCAAUAUUUUCUGACGUGAGAGACAAUUCUUUAUGGAGCUGGUAGGAUAUUUAAAGGAAAUGCCCCAUUUACUAGAAAAGUCAGGUUCUGUGUGGAUGGACACCCUCUGAGAAGACUGUGGUGAUCAUCAUCAUCCUGAAAAAUGUGCUGCUUUGUGUUCUCUAUAAGCUUCUAUUUGUACCUGAAAGAAUGAAGUGCAUGGAUCUCUUCACCUCAGCCAUCACAUUUGAAGCUAUACAGAAGAAGAUUCCAGACUGAUUGCUGUACCGUGAGGUAGUCAGUAUGCUCACAAGCUGCAAAAACACAAAGGAAUAUUCAAUUAACUAGAUGAGAUACAUUUGGAAACCAAAAAACAUGUAUAAAAACAUAUAAACAUAUAAGCAAAUUAAAAAACAACAUUGUUAUAC